UAUUGGAUCUAGUUGACUAGUAUCUUGUUGAGAAUUUUUGCAUCCAUUUUCAUCAGGGAACCUGGUCUGUAGCUCUCCUUUUUAGUGGGGUCUUUGUCUGGUUUUGGAAGCAAGGUAAUGCUGGCUUCAUAGAAUGUGUUUGGCUU
Herpailurus yagouaroundi (jaguarundi) is the source of this 146-nucleotide long non-coding RNA. RefSeq lists it as uncharacterized. The transcript is spliced from 3 exons. The record is from RefSeq and is a predicted model, not a curated record. Lineage: Eukaryota; Metazoa; Chordata; Mammalia; Carnivora; Felidae.